UGGGGAAUAUUGCACAAUGGGCGAAAGCCUGAUGCAGCGACGCCGCGUGAGGGAUGACGGCCUUCGGGUUGUAAACCUCUUUCAGCAGGGACGAAGCGCAAGUGACGGUACCUGCAGAAGAAGCACCGGCUAACUACGUGCCAGCAGCCGCGGUAAUACGUAGGGUGCAAGCGUUGUCCGGAAUUACUGGGCGUAAAGAGUUCGUAGGCGGUUUGUCGCGUCGUUUGUGAAAAACAGCAGCUCAACUGCUGGCUUGCAGGCGAUACGGGCAGACUUGAGUACUGCAGGGGAGACUGGAAUUCCUGGUGUAGCGGUGAAAUGCGCAGAUAUCAGGAGGAACACCGGGGGCGAAGGCGGGUCUCUGGGCAGUAACUGACGCUGAGGAACGAAAGCGUGGGUAGCGAACAGG
This 409-nucleotide ribosomal RNA is filed under the name bacterium. RNAcentral's name for it is "partial 16S ribosomal RNA". It matches the Rfam family "Bacterial small subunit ribosomal RNA", at positions 355 to 776 of the family's 1533-position model. The record is from RNAcentral.